This 1697-nucleotide long non-coding RNA is filed under the name Citrus sinensis (sweet orange). RNAcentral describes it as "long non-coding RNA (CSIN_LNC004641)". The record is from RNAcentral. Lineage: Eukaryota; Viridiplantae; Streptophyta; Magnoliopsida; Sapindales; Rutaceae.
CUAACUAUGCUCUCUCUCACUCCAUCAAUCUCUCUUCUUCUAAAUUCUAUCAAGCUUGUCUUUCACCUCAUCUCUGAUAGUCACCAUGGUCUCAUAUCUAAUAGCCACCAUAAUCGACAUUCUCAAUGCUUAAGGUAAUUUCCUCAAUUCAUUUCAUUAAUUUGAAAUUUAUGAUGUUUAGGUUUUAGAAUUGGUGAAUUAUUUAUAGGAUGUGCUAAAUUAAAGAUAAGGGAAAAUUAAUUUAGUUCAUUCAAUUUAGUGCACACCCUUAAUAGUUUUUGAUAGAUUUAAAGCAUGCGGACCUUGAAAAGAUGCAUUUUUUUUAAUUUUUUUCUAAUUUUAAAUUAACUCAUCUAAGGACCGAGAGGAUCUAAGAAUUUAAUGAUGAAAAGAAUGAAAAUGUUGUUGUUCUUUUAUGGGAUGUUAUUUUGGUGGGACAUAUUAUUGUAACUAUAGCAGCAUCUACUACAAGGUUUAAGGAGAAAGAGCUUAAUCAGACACCCACUUGGGUUGUUGAAACUAUUUGUGCAAUUAUCAUUCUCGUUUCUACUCUCUUGGCAAAGAAUCUUCACAAACUUGGAGUAUUACUGCAUUUACAUAUGCUCUUAAUAUAGUUCCAAUGCAAUUGAAUUUAAUGGACUUUGUUGUAUCUUUGUUUAUGCAUGCUCAAAUUGCCCAACCGAACAUUUGUUUGUUCUUUUAGUGUUGCUUUCCUUGAGUUGUUCUAUUGAUACUUUAUGGAAUUUCACAUCUGUGGUAGCUUACGAAGAGGUACAAGUGAGCUCUAAAGCCCUUGAGAAGGUCAAAGCUGGUAAUCAAGAUUCUUUAGUUUUCAUUGAUUAAGAUACAUAGUUAUUUAGUUUCGUAUAUUAAUUAAUGUAUUAGUUCUAGAUUAAGCAUAUGACAACUUUAGAGAAUAGAGUUGACAAUUAAUGAUUAAGCUUACAUGUGAAUUAGGAAUCCAUGAUCAUAAAUUGUGCUGAUAUCUGAUUAUUUUUUGUUUAUAUUUGUAGAAAAUUUGUUUAAUCAUAAAGUCUUCUAGCAUAACUGAAAAUCCAACCCCAUAGUUGGAAGCUUGUGAAAAAUGUUUCAACUAUUAUAAGAUCUUAUGAAGUUCACGUACAGGAAAAAAAUUGAAUCAUAAGUUUUGAAAGUGCAAAUGAUGCAAGGCUUUUUGAAUGGAUUUAAGAUCGAAAGAGAAGUGAAUCUAAUAACUUUCAAUGAAUGGAAGAUCCAAAUAGUAGUGAGAAUAAAAUUGAUGUCUUAUUAGAGUCUACAAGUUUAGGCAUCAAAUGGAAUGUUUCUCUCUUAAAUUUCAAUUGUUUCAGAAAAAACUUUAAUGAAGACAACAUUGUGAAGAUCAAAGGCAAUUGAUGAAGGAUGAAUUAAGAAAAUGACAGCAAGCUUUAUUGUAAAAUAUGUCCCAUAAUUAAUUGUAUCUAUAUUAGUAUGUAUUACAAUUAAGUGUUAUAUUUAAUUCAUGUAUUCAUAUUUUUUAUUUUAUUAAAGCCUAUAAUGAAAUGUUACAAUUUGAGUGUGGAAAUUUUUGUUACAAGGUGGAAGAACGAAAUGUUCAAGUUCACCACAGCUGUAUAAUCAAGAUGCAAGGCCUAGCACUAUAAAUCCUUACUGAAUCUUAGAAACCUGGUUCACGAAACUAUUAUUAUUGAAAUCCUAAAAUUUCAGUGUGUACAAGC